UACGUAGGGGGCAAGCGUUGUCCGGAUUUACUGGGCGUAAAGAGCGUGUAGGCGGCCAGGCAGGUCUGUUGUGAAAACUGGAGGCUUAACCUCCAGACGUCGACAGAAACCGCUUGGCUAGAGUCCGGAAGAGGAGAGUGGAAUUCCUGGUGUAGCGGUGAAAUGCGCAGAUAUCAGGAAGAACACCGGUGGCGAAGGCGGCUCUCUGGGCCUUACCUGACGCUGAGGAGCGAAAGCGUGGGUAGCGAACAGG
RNAcentral lists this ribosomal RNA (253 nucleotides) under uncultured bacterium. Its description in RNAcentral is "partial 16S ribosomal RNA". It matches the Rfam family "Bacterial small subunit ribosomal RNA", at positions 524 to 776 of the family's 1533-position model. The record is from RNAcentral.